UUGGAGGGCAAGUCUGGUGCCAGCAGCCGCGGUAAUUCCAGCUCCAAUAGCGUAUAUUAAAGUUGCUGCAGUUAAAAAGCUCGUAGUUGAAUUUCGGGACCAUCAUGUCGGUCGUGCCUCGGUACGUACUGGCAUUGUUGGUUUCUCCCUUCUGACGAACCAUGAUGUCAUUUAUUUGGUGUUGUGGGGAAUCAGGACUGUUACUUUGAAAAAAUUAGAGUGUUUAAAGCAGGCUCACGCUUGAAUACAUUAGCAUGGAAUAAUGAAAUAGGACGUUUGAUUCUAUUUUGUUGGUUUCUAGGAUCGACGUAAUGAUUAAUAGGGAUAGUUGGG
RNAcentral lists this small RNA (333 nucleotides) under uncultured Glomus. RNAcentral describes it as "SSU rRNA". It matches the Rfam family "Eukaryotic small subunit ribosomal RNA", at positions 548 to 886 of the family's 1831-position model. Lineage: Eukaryota; Fungi; Glomeromycota; Glomeromycetes; Glomerales; Glomeraceae. The record is from RNAcentral.